CACGAUCCAACCUGGGUCGUUCGUCUUCAUCCUUUGGACAGGCUCAGGCAACGAGCCAGCGCCGCACCCCACUCGCGCCCGACCCCUCCCCUUCUCUCCCUCUCCACCAAACUGCUCUGAACGGAUUCCUCACGCCCUCCCUAACUCCUGAUCUUCCGUUACCCGCACUAAACCGUGCCCUAAUGGCCAUUAGAACACCGGAAACGGCCGCGAUGAAGAUGCCAUAAUUCCGACGACGCCCUGCGUCGUUCCGACCUCCCCUGCAUCCUAUAAAAGGCCCCCUCCCCUCACAACUCUCUCCUUGCCCGAACCCCUCUCCUUCGGGAGCUUAUACCCCUCCCAUCGUCGUGAAUUGCUCACCGGAGUUGCUUGACACCGCUGCUGUUCGUGGAAGGUUCCGGCGAGUUCGAGCCGGAGCACGAGUUUCACGUUGUUCGCUUCCGGCCGGAGUUCCGCCCAACUCCGGCGACAUCUAGCAGCCAUCUAAGGACGAACCAGGAGCCGCGUCGUGUCCCGGAGACUCACCUCGACUUCCUCUACUCCGUCCACCUCUCCUUCGUUGCUGUUAAAAGGGAGAAAGAGGAUUGGUGGAAUAGAUUGUUGUAUUGCUUGAGCCUCGUGGCAUAUAUAUGCAAAAGAGACCGUAAGAAAAUA
Molecule: long non-coding RNA, 654 nt
Organism: Triticum aestivum (bread wheat)
Lineage: Eukaryota; Viridiplantae; Streptophyta; Magnoliopsida; Poales; Poaceae
Exons: 2
Source: RefSeq, a predicted model, not a curated record